UCCCUGUUAGUCCAGUGGUUAAGACUCUGUGCUUCCACUGCAAGGAGCCUGGGUUCAAUUCCUGGUCGGGGAA
This is a non-coding RNA of Bos taurus (domestic cattle), 73 nucleotides long. The record is from Rfam. Lineage: Eukaryota; Metazoa; Chordata; Mammalia; Artiodactyla; Bovidae.